Molecule: ribosomal RNA, 1626 nt
Filed under: Gregarina coronata
Lineage: Eukaryota; Apicomplexa; Conoidasida; Eugregarinorida; Gregarinidae
Description: partial small subunit ribosomal RNA
Rfam family: Eukaryotic small subunit ribosomal RNA
Source: RNAcentral
AUUAGCCAUGCAGGUGUAAGUAUAAAUCAUAUUAACGAUAAAACUGCGANUAGCUCAUUAGAACACUUAUAAUUAACACGGUGAUCUUUUUAUAUGGAUAUCCAUGGUAAUUCUGGAGUUAAUACAUGCAAUCAAUGGCGUCAAACCAUUGUGCAGCCAUGAUAUUAAUCACCGAACAAGUUCGCUUGUUUGGAUGACCCUCGUGGACUAGUGAAUCGCUUUUGCGAUAGACCGUUUUAGUUUGUGACCUAUCAGCUUUGUCGGUAAGGUAUUGGCUUACCGAGGCGAUUACGGGUAACGGAGAAUUGGGGUUCGAUUCCGGAGAGGGAGCCUGAGAAACGGCUACCACAUCUAAGGGUGGCAGCAGGCGCGCAAAUUACUCAAUCCCGACACGGGGAGGUAGUGACAAAAAAUAACAGCACGAUGCAUUUGCUUCGUGACUGUAAUGAGCAGAAAUUACAAAAGUAUGCGAGUAUCAAUUGGAGGGCAAGUCUGGUGCCAGCAGCCGCGGUAAUUCCAGCUCCAAUAGCGUAUAUUAAAAUUGUUGCAGUUAAAGCGUUCGUAGUUUACACUCCGCAGUUCGGCAAGUUAGAGACCCAGUUUUUGGGUGCUCACUCGUUUGAACUGUUGCGCACUAGUUGCGUGCUAUUACUUUGAGUAAAUGGAAAUGCUCCAAGCAGGCUUUAGCCUGAACCGCUCAGCAUGGAAUAAUAUAAUAUAGCUCCUUCGCGACUUGUCGGUGAGUAGCUUGGGAUGUGAUGAUUGAUAAGGACGGUCGGGGGCAUUUGUACUUGCUGGAGAGAGGUGAAAUUCUAAGACCCGGCAAAGACAGACUGACGCGAAAGCUUUUGCCCAGGACGUGCCUAUUAAUCAAGGACGAAAGUUGGGGGAUCGAAGACGAUUAGAUACCGUCGUAGUCUCAACCGUAAACGAUGCCGACAUAAUUUCGGCGAAGAGAGUUUAUAGUCUUCUUCGGAGUUACCAGAGAAAUCAAAGUCUUUGGGCCCUGGGGGGAGUAUGGUCGCAAGGCUGAAACUUAAAGGAAUUGACGGAAGGGCACCACCAGGAGUGGAGCCUGCGGCUUAAUUCGACUCAACGCGGGAAAUCUCACCAGGCCCGAACAUAAUUAUGAUUGACGGAUGAAAAGAUCUUUCUUGAUUCUAUGGGUGGUGGUGCAUGGCCGUUCUUAGUCGGUGAGGUGACUUGUCUGGUUAAUUCCGAUAACGGACGAGAUCUCGACUUAUUAACUGAUGAAAUGAAUUUUGAUUUAUUUGAUCGCUUAAUAGGACAUUGGAUGUUUAUUCCAAGGAAGUUCGAGCCUAUAACAGGUCUGUGAUGCCCUUAGAUGGCCUGGGCUGCACGUGCGCUACAUUGACAAAUGCAAAAAGUUACCUUGACUGAGAAGUCUGGGAAAUCUCAAAAGUUUGUCGUACUUGGAAUCGGUGCUUGCAAUUAUUCACCGUGAACGAGGAAUUCCUAGUAAGUACAAUUCACUAUAUUGUGCUGACUGCGUCCCUGCCCUUUGUACACACCGCCCGUCGCUUCAACCGAUUGGAUGAUUCGGCAAAUUUCGUGGACAUUAUUGUCACUUGUGACACGAUGGAAGCAAUGUGAGCCACAUUAUCU